GAUGAACGCUGGCGGCGUGCCUAAUACAUGCAAGUCGAGCGAACAGACGAGGAGCUUGCUCCUCUGACGUUAGCGGCGGACGGGUGAGUAACACGUGGAUAACCUACCUAUAAGACUGGGAUAACUUCGGGAAACCGGAGCUAAUACCGGAUAAUAUAUUGAACCGCAUGGUUCAAUAGUGAAAGACGGUUUUGCUGUCACUUAUAGAUGGAUCCGCGCCGCAUUAGCUAGUUGGUAAGGUAACGGCUUACCAAGGCAACGAUGCGUAGCCGACCUUAGAGGGUGAAUCGCCACACUGGAACUGAGACACGGUCCAGACUCCUACGGGAGGCAGCAGUAGGGAAUCUUCCGCAAUGGGCGAAAGCCUGACGGAGCAACGCCGCGUGAGUGAUGAAGGUCUUCGGAUCGUAAAACUCUGUUAUUAGGGAAGAACAAAUGUGUAAGUAACUAUGCACGUCUUGACGGUACCUAAUCAGAAAGCCACGGCUAACUACGUG
Molecule: ribosomal RNA, 497 nt
Filed under: uncultured bacterium
Lineage: Bacteria
Description: partial 16S ribosomal RNA
Rfam family: Bacterial small subunit ribosomal RNA
Source: RNAcentral